GGCUAACGCUGGCGGCGUGUCUUAGCCAUGCAAGUCGAGCGGACUUAUGGGGGUAACUUAUAAGUCAGCGGCGGACGGCGGAGUAACACGUAGCUAACCUACCCUCUGGACGGGGAUAACCUACCGAAAGGUGGGCUAAUACCCGAUGUAGUCAUCCUGUAUAGGGGUGAUGAAAGGUGGGCUCCUGUUUACAAGCUCAUGCUGGAGGAGGGGGCUGCGGCCUAUCAGGUAGUUGGUAGGGUAAUAGCCUACCAAGCCGAUGACGGGUAGCCGGCCUGAGAGGGUGACCGGCCCGAGGGGCACUGAGAUACGGGUCCCACUCCUACGGGAGGCAGCAGGCUAGAAAUUUGGGCAAUGGGGGAAACCCUGACCCAGUGACGCCGCGUGCAGGAAGGAGCCCUUCGGGGUGUAAACUGCUGUCGUGUAGGGAGAAGGGGUACUAAGGUGAACAAUACUUAGUACUUGACGGUACUACAGGAGGAAGCCCAGGCUAACCUCGUGCCAGCAGCCGCGGUAAUAUAGCGUAC
Molecule: ribosomal RNA, 527 nt
Filed under: uncultured bacterium
Lineage: Bacteria
Description: bacterial SSU rRNA
Rfam family: Bacterial small subunit ribosomal RNA
Source: RNAcentral